GGCAUAAAUAAAAGAAUAUCAUUCAUUCAACUCUAAUGAACUGCAAGAAUCUAAAUUUGAAUACAAGACAGUUAGAACCAAAGAUGAUAAUAAUAUUGGUCCUCACAAAUGGUGAGAACAGGUAUCACCAAGAUAAAAUGCAAAAAGCUACACCCUCCAAGCUAUUUCACAGAACCAUUAGUAAUGCAUACACCAUCCUGAUACUAAGUAUACUCUCUAUAUGUUGCACCUAUCAUAUCCAGAAAACCAUGAUGAGGGUUCUGCAAGUUUCGAUAACUCACCACAUUCACCGUUAUUAUAAAAUGGCUCAAAUUCCUCCCUCCAUCGGUCACCUUCACUAAGAUCUGUAUCAUACUUGGCUGUUUCACCAUCAUUAUGAGCAGGUUGUAUUGCUUCUUUGGGUAGGCGAGACUCUGCAAGGAGCUCGUUAAGAGUGUUUAUCUCGUUUUCAUGUUUUCUCUUCAAUUUAUCAAUCUGUUUUUUAUAUGCCUUUGCAGUUUCUUGUUCUGCAUCCAUUGCUCGUUUCUACAAAAACAAACCAAGUUAAAAAAGCAAUGAAAGUAUGUGUCAUAACCAAACUUCACCAGUGGAUGAAUAAAUCAGAAAAUUUAAAAAGCUCAUGCAAUGCUAGACGACACGUGUCCUAUAUUCAUAACUCACCAUUUCUUUCCCCAGUAUUUGUAAGCAGAACGUAUCUAGCACAUUUUCCAGUUAUACAAGCAUUUCGUGCACAAAUCACACACUUGUCUAAGCAUGUCUAGCAAGCAAUUCUGAAGUUUCAAUAUUCUGUUGAAAGCCAAAUGUUGAUAAAAAAAAUGCAUUUAACAACUUGAGAUAAAAUUUUAAGAGAAAAAAAUAAAAGAAAUGAGGAUGGAGAAAAUUUUUUAAAUUACAUUUAUGACCAUGAGCUUUUACAAGGAAAAAAAAAACUAUUAACAAAGGAUCAAAAAGCAAUUUAUUAAUUUUCCUCUCACUUAACUCUCCAUUCUGGGCAAUAAGAUUUGCUGCGUCCAAAUUUUGAAUUAUUCUCCCAAUGCCCUUUGCCCUUUCAUUUUCAUUUCUCUCCACGUCUAAACAAGGUAACCUCCAAUUUUCCUUUCUAAAAUUUUUUAUUUACCUUCUAGAGGAAAAAAAAUGCAUUGACUAUAUUGGACUCAUUAUGUGAAGCAAACAAGGUCAUAUAAUAAUUAUAACAAACUUCUGAUCAAAGCAAACUAACAGGGAACCAAAACUACCUCUGCAGCAGCAACAGCUUCUUCUGCUUCUUUCAGCCUUACUAGUAAUUCACCAGCAGCUUGUACAGCCUCAGCAGUAUCCCUCAAUUGAGACUGAAGUGCUUUAUUUUCAUCUCUAAGAUAUCGUCUCUCUUUUUCUCUUUCCACUUUCAAUGCCGAAAUUUCUGCAGCAAGGGCAUUUAUAAACUUGGAUUCAGCACCCCUUACUCCAGCUUUAGAGGCAGCUUUCUUGACAUCGUCUAUUCCUUCCUGGAUCUUUCUGUGCCUUGCAAGUAAUUGAAUAUGUUUUUCCUCAAGAUCUGCAUAUUGUUCAAGCAUGCGUGCAUGACCCUCCAUGGCCAAUUGCAUUGCUUCCUUCCACUCUUCUGCACAUCUCUUCUCUGUCUCUAAUUCCUGCCACCUUUUUUCAGCUAGCACCCUGGUAGCAUCAAGUUCUGUCCUCAAUUCUUCAGCAAGCGAAAUCCACUUGCUCUCUGCCUCAGUCCAGCGCACUCUCUCCUGUUCAAGUUUCAAUUCAGCACUCCCCUCAACAGCCUCCGGAAUUGUGCUAAGAGAUGGAGCCACGCUUGGCUCAGUUGAACAGGUCAACCGCAAUAUUGAAUUUCUUUUCAGUGCAGAUGUGGAUGAAGAGUCAACAUAGUACUGCAACUGGUUUCUUAAAUCUUGAAUUUCUUCCAACAGCACCUCCCUUUCACCCAAAUCACAGAAAUUUCGGUAAUGUUCUAGCUCAUCUUGAACUCUUUUCAGCUCAAUAUUUGUUCUUAGAACUUCAGGAUGAUUCUCAUAUUUCUCCUUCAAAAGCUUAUGUUCAUGCAUAAGUGAUGCUAUCUCUUCCUCCAUGAACUCCUCAGUGGGUAAAACACCAUCCAUAAGGCUUUCAAGGCGAAGAAUUUUAUCCUCCCUUGUUUGCCCUAUUAUGGCAUUGCAUUCUCUCUCAUGCUUAUACUGUUGCACCAAACGCUUAAGCUGCAUUAUCUCAGAAGUUUGUUUGGCACAAAACUCCUCCAGAGCCAUUUCUCUCCGGAUGGCUCCCGCCAAAACCUUCUCCACUGCUUUGGGAACUUGGUUUUUGGAUUUAUCAGCAGACUCUGAGCCAUCGAUACGUACUAACUGCAAGUUUGAGUUGUCAUCAGCAUCUUUGUCCUCCAGUUUUUUCUUGCUCUUGCAGCUCUUACAAAAAAAUGCCACAUCAUCUUCUUGUGGUACAUCAUUAUCUUGAGGAAAAGUUUGCACACCUGCAUCAACUUUUUCAAGCAGUGAAAUUUUCUUACAUUCUGCCGGUCUACAUGAAAACCUAAAGGAUGAUCCCCUGAAUGCUGAACUCUUGCGGUGACCAUCAAUAAUUUCUAAGCCUCGAUGGAGGCUAGCUGCCAAAUGCUGCAUUGGUGCAAGAAAACUUUUACUUGCUUGGGUAGCCAGAGCAUUAGAAGAGCUGCUUUUCAUGGAUUUUGCAAAAGAUACACGUACAUCCUCUUGGUUUGAGUUACUUUCAUCCUUUAAAUCUUUCUGGGAAGCUGCUAAUAUUGAUGAAGUACGGAGACUUUUCCUGCUGCUGUUGAUUCUUGGAGAAACACACGGAGUUGGAGAUUUAAGAACUGGUGAUGCUUCACACGGGACUAUGCUAAGGCUAGUAGGUGAUGCACAAUUCAAUGCAUUGUUUUGAGAAUCAUUGGCAUCACCUGCCACUAAAACUCCCAUAGAAGGUCCAGUUUGAGAAUCAGAUACAGCACAUAAAGUACGAACUUCCACCAUUCUGCUAGGUGAUUCUUCAGUUAACAAUUUACUGACAGAGGAGCUAAAAUUCCCUUUCUCCUUGUCAUUAUUAUUGGAGGGCUUUCCAGAAGAAUCUUCAUCUUGUGUGUGAACGAGUAAAUGGACUGGUUCCUUGUCAAUAACAUUAGAAUAACCUUGGGAAUUUCUAACAGUAUCAGCACAGUCAACAAUCAUAAUUUCAUGUUUAUCCUGUUCACAUGUUCCUUCUUCCAUCUCAACAUCUGCAUCAGGACUUUGUUCUAUAAUACGCCUACUUUUGUCUACAGUAUUGCAAUCUUCAGUCCCCGCUGGUUGCAUUCCUGCUUCGAUGCAAAGAUUUUCAACAGCUUCCUCAUCAAUUUCCAUCUCCUCAUCACCAUCCUCAUCUACUUGAGGUAGUCGUGGAUGUGGAUGAAUAAGGCUUUUCAAUAGGUUCAAACUUUUUCGAGGAUCCCAACCUGUUGGGUUGUUGCUAUUUGACUUCACUCGAUGUAAUUCAUCCCUUAGCUGCCGGAUUACUUCUCGCAAGUGAUUCACAUCAUCCUCCAUCUCUUCAUUAACAACUGCCUUAUUCUUAAUUGCCUUUGCACGCUGCGCGAACCGCAAUGUACUGAAAGUCUCACUCUUACAACUUUGUGCAGGAGAAACAGCACAAACCAUUGCUAAUUUUGCAUUGCCACCAAGAGAUUC
RNAcentral lists this unclassified non-coding RNA (3677 nucleotides) under Hevea brasiliensis (rubber tree). The record is from RNAcentral. Lineage: Eukaryota; Viridiplantae; Streptophyta; Magnoliopsida; Malpighiales; Euphorbiaceae.